RNAcentral lists this ribosomal RNA (855 nucleotides) under uncultured bacterium. RNAcentral describes it as "bacterial SSU rRNA". It matches the Rfam family "Bacterial small subunit ribosomal RNA", at positions 64 to 934 of the family's 1533-position model. The record is from RNAcentral.
CGAUGAUGGGAGCUAGCUUGCUAGAAGAAGUCAUGGCGGACGGGUGAGUAACGUGUAAAGAACUUACCAUAUAGACUGGGAUAACAGAGGGAAACUUCUGAUAAUACUGGAUAAGUUAGUAGUAGCAUUACUAAGUAAUGAAAGGUAGCAAUACGCUAUAUGAGAGCUUUGCAUCCUAUUAGCUAGUUGGUGGGGUAAAAGCCUACCAAGGCGAUGAUAGGUAGCCGGCCUGAGAGGGUGGACGGCCACAAGGGGACUGAGAUACGGCCCUUACUCCUACGGGAGGCAGCAGUGGGGAAUAUUGGACAAUGGAGGCAACUCUGAUCCAGCAAUUCUGUGUGUGUGAAGAAGGUUUUAGGACUGUAAAACACUUUUAGUAGGGAAGAAAGAAAUGACGGUACCUACAGAAGAAGCGACGGCUAAAUACGUGCCAGCAGCCGCGGUAAUACGUAUGUCGCGAGCGUUAUCCGGAAUUAUUGGGCUUAAAGGGCAUCUAGGCGGUUAAACAAGUUGAAGGUGAAAACCUGUGGCUCAACCAUAGGCUUGCCUACAAAACUGUAUAACUAGAGUACUGGAAAGGUGGGUGGAACUACACGAGUAGAGGUGAAAUUCGUAGAUAUGUGUAGGAAUGCCGAUGAUGAAGAUAACUCACUGGACAGCAACUGACGCUGAAGUGCGAAAGCUAGGGGAGCAAACAGGAUUAGAUACCCUGGUAGUCCUAGCUGUAAACGAUGAUCACUGGGUGUGGGGAUUCGAAGUCUCUGUGCCGAAGCAAAAGCGAUAAGUGAUCCGCCUGGGGAGUACGUUCGCAAGAAUGAAACUCAAAGGAAUUGACGGGGACCCGCACAAGUGGUG